Branchiostoma belcheri (Belcher's lancelet) is the source of this 800-nucleotide long non-coding RNA. RefSeq lists it as uncharacterized. The record is from RefSeq and is a predicted model, not a curated record. NCBI's taxonomy places the organism in Eukaryota, Metazoa, Chordata, Leptocardii, Amphioxiformes, Branchiostomatidae. The transcript has 3 exons.
UAAUUUUAUGGAUGACAUCCGCGCGCGCAUUGAUUUUCGCUUGUUCUCCAAAAAAAAAAAAAAAAAAUCAUGUCUUUUGAGGCUUCACGGAACUCCGGAACUCGGCUGGAACUCGGUACAGACUGCCGACUCAUGAAUGCCGCAAAAGGACGGCUUAUCGUAAAACUUCUUUUGUACUACCGCAAAACGUAAAUUUUGUCGUAAAUGAACCCUUUGCACAUGCGUACUAGCUACACUAACAAUGUAGAGCGCGAAGUUUGCAAGAGAUGGCGGGGCAGCGUCGUCCUCAAAGUACGUCAAACUGGAGGCGUUGUUGUCGACUGGUAUGCCAUCGACAUUGGCGAGGGGGAUGUAACGUUUGCCCAGCUUUACGAGCGACUCGUGGCAGCCAGCGAGUAUCGCCCGGACAGACGUCCUUUCCAGAGCGGCCACCACACGUUUGAGAGAAAAUGGGAGCUGUGUUGAGGUGGCCUUUAAAGUGGGUCAGGCCACUUCUCAGUGCAGUUCGGCUGUUUUGUCCGUAUUGUUGUUGACAAAACUGCAACAACUAAAGCCAAAGAUUGUCAGCAGAAGUCAGCUUUUGAGGGGCCCUGGGCUCUUUCAUGUAGUGCACCAGUGGAGGUGUACUCUGCGCGAGUCAAGUCUAGGGCACUGGCCAUUCUGCCACUGGUAUGCUGGCAGUGUGGGGAAACAGACACGCUUCCCAUCCCUCCAGAGAAACUGCAGUGUUUCAGAGCAUUCAUCCAGUGUGCCAGGUUUGCAAAGCCACUCGUGUUGAAGAGCGUACAAGAGUAAAGAGA